Mauremys reevesii (Reeves's turtle) is the source of this 591-nucleotide long non-coding RNA. RefSeq lists it as uncharacterized. The transcript is spliced from 3 exons. The record is from RefSeq and is a predicted model, not a curated record. Lineage: Eukaryota; Metazoa; Chordata; Testudines; Geoemydidae.
GGAACCACUGGAGACACACCAAAACCUUGCUGCUUAUAAAGGUGAAGGGAAGGUGACUUGUGCCUGGUGCUAAGCCUCAGCAGGUUCUAUCUAUCCAGAUACUUACAUGGCUCCGGUCACUGUAGUAUUUAAGUGCUGGAAUGUUUUGCAAAUGUAUCUGAGGUUCACUGAUGUUUUGGGAACACCCAGUCAAACAGCAGCUUUGUUACAAGGGAAACACCAAGUGAAGUGGGGAGAAAACAGCAGGCCAGUACUCUCCUGACAUCCUUGGGAGAGUAGGAGGAGAUGGGAGGGAGCCCCCAGGCCAUUCUGAAGAUACCAGUGGUACUUGUUUGAAAAUUAUGUGCAUAUUGCGUGAUCAAAACUCAUGCCCUUAGAGUGUCACUCAGCUCUAGCAAAUGGCCAGUUCACAGAAAUUGAGAAGAGGAUCAGUCAGAAGACAACACAUGAAAAUUUGAUUAGUUUACAAUUAUUUCCUAUGCAUCUCACAGUACAAAGAGUGUGUGUGUGUAUUAUGUAUGCAAUAUAUAGAUGGUAUUAAUAUGCAUCUCUCUACAUCUAUAUAUAAUAUAAUCAGUCACAUGUUCUGUA